UUUCCGUAGGUGAACCUGCGGAAGGAUCAUUAAAAAAUUGGACUCCAUUGGUGAGUUCAUUAAUAAUCCCUACCCUUUGUGAAUUUGUUUGUUUGAAUAAUUUUUUUUCCAAAAAAAAUUAUUGAAUGUCUUUCCCUGUUUUGGUGGAGCUUGUAAAGUGAAACCAGGCAGGGGAAUGGCAAACAAUAAUUAUUUUUGAAAAAAGACCUUUUUUUAAAAUUAAACUUUUUGUAUUCAUUUGUCUAAAAUUAUUUUUAUAAUAUAAAAACAACUUUUGACAAUGGAUCUCUUGGUUCUCGCAACGAUGAAGAACGCAGCAAAAUGCGAUAAGUAGUGUGAAUUGCAGAAUACGUGAAUCAUCGAAUCUUCGAACGCAUAUUGCACUUUUUUAGUUUACUAAAAAAGUAUGUCUGUUUGAGUAUCAGUAAAAUAUUCUCAUAAAAAACAUUGUUUUUUUAUGGUUAUGAGUGUUUUACAACGAUAACAAGUUAUUUCACUUUAAAUUCUUUGUUAUCAAAAAAUCAUUAAAAGCUAAUUUUAAAGAUUUUUUAAAAUUGGAUAAAAUUUUCCCGUAAAAAGGAAUAACCUAAACAAUUUUAAAAAAUUAAAAUUGGUUUGAUUUCUUUUGAAACCCAAAGGGAAAAAAAACGAAAUUAACUUGAUCUCAAAUCAGAUAAGAGUACCCGCUGAACUUAAGCAUAUCAAUAAGCGGAGGAAAAGAAACUAACUAGGAUUCCCUCAGUAACGGCGAGUGAAGCGGGAAGAGCUCAAAUUUGAAAUCUUCAAGGUUUUACCUUGACGAAUUGUAGUUUAAAGAAGUGUUUUCUGUUGGAGUUUUGGUAAAAGUUCUUUGGAAAAGGACAUCAUAGAGGGUGAGAAUCCCGUAUUUGACCAUUAUCUCCAGCUUUGUGAUACACUUUCAAAGAGUCGGAUUGUUUGGGAAUGCAGUCCAAAAUGGGUGGUAAAUUUCAUCUAAAGCUAAAUAUUGGCGAGAGACCGAUAGCGAACAAGUACCGUGAGGGAAAGAUGAAAAGAACUUUGAAAAGAGAGUUAAACAGUACGUGAAAUUGUCAAAAGGGAAGCGUUUGACACCAGUGUUGUUUUCCGAAAAUCAAUUAAAAAGGUUUUGUUUCUGGUGAUGACUUCAUCAGCUUCUUCUCUUUUCUCGACUUUUGUAAUGCACUUUUCGGUUAACAAGUCAACAUCAAUUUCUUUUGUUGUAAAAGGUCAUUGGAAGGUGGCUUUCUUUUCGGAGAAAGUGUUUAUAGCCUUUGCCUCUACAAUCAGAGAGAUUGAGGUCUGCAGCGUAGAUCCUUCGGGGUUAGAUACAUUUGUGCUAAGUUAUAGCUUUCAUAGACAACUUGUUGACUAUGUUCAGUCUUGUAGCUUACUCGCUUGUGCUAUUU
RNAcentral lists this unclassified non-coding RNA (1406 nucleotides) under uncultured Neocallimastigales. RNAcentral describes it as "partial contains small subunit ribosomal RNA, internal transcribed spacer 1, 5.8S ribosomal RNA, internal transcribed spacer 2, and large subunit ribosomal RNA". The stretch from base 660 to 1406 matches the Rfam family "Eukaryotic large subunit ribosomal RNA", at positions 1 to 617 of the family's 3401-position model. Lineage: Eukaryota; Fungi; Neocallimastigomycota; Neocallimastigomycetes; Neocallimastigales. The record is from RNAcentral.